AGCUACAUAGCUCAGGGGAAGAGUGAGUUGAAUCGUACCUUGACAGCAAAUCCCAACACACGCUAAUACCAAAACAGGCGCCGGGCUCAUAACCCGGAGGUCGCUGGAUCGAAACCAGUUGUAGCUA
This is a non-coding RNA of Diaporthe citri, 127 nucleotides long. NCBI's taxonomy places the organism in Eukaryota, Fungi, Ascomycota, Sordariomycetes, Diaporthales, Diaporthaceae. The record is from the annotation of a RefSeq genome assembly.